RNAcentral lists this ribosomal RNA (468 nucleotides) under uncultured bacterium. RNAcentral describes it as "partial 16S ribosomal RNA". It matches the Rfam family "Bacterial small subunit ribosomal RNA", at positions 28 to 507 of the family's 1533-position model. The record is from RNAcentral.
GACGAACGCUGGCGGCGUGCUUAACACAUGCAAGUCGAACGGAAAGGCCCUGCUUUUGUGGGGUGCUCGAGUGGCGAACGGGUGAGUAACACGUGAGUAACCUGUCCUUGACUUUGGGAUAACUUCAGGAAACUGGGGCUAUUCCGGGUAAGGAGCUCUUGCUGUUGGGUGGGGGGGGGAAGGUUUCGGCGGUUGGGGAUGGACUCGCGUCUUAUCGGCUUGUUGGUGGGGUAGUGGGUUACCAAGGCUUUGACGGGUAGCCGGCCUGCGAGGGUGACCGGCCACAUUGGGACUGGACUGCGGCCCAGACUCCUACGGGAGGCAGCAGUGGGGAAUAUUGCACAAUGGGCGGAAGCCUGAUGCAGCAACGCCGCGUGCGGGAUGACGGCCUUCGGGUUGUAAACCGCUUUCGCCUGUGACGAAGCGUGAGUGACGGUAAUGGGUAAAGAAGCACCGGCUAACUACGUG